RNAcentral lists this ribosomal RNA (497 nucleotides) under uncultured bacterium. RNAcentral's name for it is "partial 16S ribosomal RNA". It matches the Rfam family "Bacterial small subunit ribosomal RNA", at positions 28 to 507 of the family's 1533-position model. The record is from RNAcentral.
GAUGAACGCUGGCGGCGUGCCUAAUACAUGCAAGUCGAGCGAACAGACGAGGAGCUUGCUCCUCUGACGUUAGCGGCGGACGGGUGAGUAACACGUGGAUAACCUACCUAUAAGACUGGGAUAACUUCGGGAAACCGGAGCUAAUACCGGAUAAUAUAUUGAACCGCAUGGUUCAAUAGUGAAAGACGGUUUUGCUGUCACUUAUAGAUUGAUCCGCGCCGCAUUAGCUAGUUGGUAAGGUAACGGCUUACCAAGGCAACGAUGCGUAGCCGACCUGAGAGGGUGAUCGGCCACACUGGAACUGAGACACGGUCCAGACUCCUACGGGAGGCAGAAGUAGGGAAUCGUCCGCAAUGGGCGAAAGCUUGACGGAGCAACGCCGCGUGAGUGAUGAAGGUCUUCGGAUCGUAAAACUCUGUUAUUAGGGAAGAACAAAUGUGUAAGUAACUAUGCACGUCUUGACGGUACCUAAUCAGAAAGCCACGGCUAACUACGUG